GAUCCAGACUCCUACGGGAGGCAGCAGUGGGGGAUAUUGCACAAUGGGGGAAACCCUGAUGCAGCGACGCCGCGUGGGUGAAGAAGCGCCUCGGCGCGUAAAGCCCUGUCAGCAGGGAAGAAGCAAGACGGUACCUGACUAAGAAGCCCCGGCUAACUACGUGCCAGCAGCCGCGGUAAUGCGUAGGGGGCGAGCGUUAUCCGGAUUUACUGGGUGUAAAGGGGGCGCAGACGGCGAUGCAAGCCAGGAGUGAAAGCCCGGGGCCCAACCCCGGGACUGCUCUUGGAACUGCGUGGCUGGAGUGCAGGAGGGGCAGGCGGAAUUCCUGGUGUAGCGGUGAAAUGCGUAGAUAUUAGGAGGAACACCAGUGGCGAAGGCGGCCUGCUGGACGAUGACUGACGCUGAGGCUCGAAAGCGUGGGGAGCAAACAGGAUUAGAUACCCCUGUA
This 448-nucleotide ribosomal RNA is filed under the name uncultured bacterium. RNAcentral describes it as "partial 16S ribosomal RNA". It matches the Rfam family "Bacterial small subunit ribosomal RNA", at positions 328 to 792 of the family's 1533-position model. The record is from RNAcentral.